This 353-nucleotide unclassified non-coding RNA is filed under the name soil metagenome. Its description in RNAcentral is "partial contains 5.8S ribosomal RNA, internal transcribed spacer 2, and large subunit ribosomal RNA". The stretch from base 1 to 120 matches the Rfam family "5.8S ribosomal RNA", at positions 35 to 154 of the family's 154-position model. The record is from RNAcentral.
GAUGAAGAACGCAGCGAAAUGCGAUAAGUAAUGUGAAUUGCAGAAUUCAGUGAAUCAUCGAAUCUUUGAACGCACAUUGCGCCCGCCAGUAUUCUGGCGGGCAUGCCUGUUCGAGCGUCAUUACAACCCUCAGGCCCCCGGGCCUGGCGUUGGGGAUCGGCGGAAGCCCCCUGCGGGCACAACGCCGUCCCCCAAAUACAGUGGCGGUCCCGCCGCAGCUUCCAUUGCGUAGUAGCUAACACCUCGCAACUGGAGAGCAGCGCGGCCACGCCGUAAAACACCCAACUUCUGAAUGUUGACCUCGAAUCAGGUAGGAAUACCCGCUGAACUUAAGCAUAUCAAUAAGCGGAGGA